GACGUAGGGGGCGAGCGUUGUUCGGAAUUACUGGGCGUAAAGCGUGCGUAGGCGGACUUAUAAGUCAAGGUUGAAAUAUCCGGGCUCAACUCGGGGCACGGCCUUGAUACUGCAAGUCUUGAGUCAAGUAGAGGGUAAUGGAAUUCCCGGUGUAGCGGUGAAAUGCGUAGAUAUCAGGAGGAACACCGGCGGCGAAGGCGGCCCUCUGGAUCGUUGCUGACGCUGAGACGCGAAAGCGUGGGGAGCAAACAGG
This 253-nucleotide ribosomal RNA is filed under the name uncultured prokaryote. Its description in RNAcentral is "partial 16S ribosomal RNA". It matches the Rfam family "Bacterial small subunit ribosomal RNA", at positions 524 to 776 of the family's 1533-position model. The record is from RNAcentral.